CUUGGAUUUUAUGAAAUAAAACAAGGUUUACGUUUUAGAUGAUUUCAAAAGUUUUGUAAUAGAUCUAUAGGUGAAAUUUUGUAGAUUUAUGGUUAUAGUUGUAUUUAAAAUGUACUGUAAAUUUGAGCUUGAUCUAAGGGUUGAAUUUAGGAAUAUUGAGAUUUAAGUGGGUUAAGGUCUCAAAAACUAGAAUUUUAGGUCCAAUGGGAUUUUUUAAGAUUUCUUGUAAUUUACUAGUUGAAUUGAAGUGAAACUUAUGUGAGAAAAUAUUAGACUUGAUUUUCUAUUUGUAUGAAAAUUUUG
Molecule: long non-coding RNA, 303 nt
Filed under: Physcomitrium patens
Lineage: Eukaryota; Viridiplantae; Streptophyta; Bryopsida; Funariales; Funariaceae
Description: long non-coding RNA (PPAT_LNC008552)
Source: RNAcentral